GAAAAUGAAAGACUUGAGAGCUAUGAAAUGCACUUCUGAGAUGAGUCUCAAGACUUCCUUUUUCAUUCACUUCCCUCCAAAAUUCAACUCUCAAAUUAAUACAUACGGAAGUGAGUGUAAUAUUUUAAGGAGGAGAGAUGGUAAGUGUAAUGUUUUAAGGAGGAGAUAUGGUAAGUGUAAUGUUUUAAGGAGGAAAGAUGAUGAAUAUAAUUAAUGUAAUCCUCAAAGGAGGGAACUGGGUUGUUGGUUGUUACAUAACAGACACAAUGUUUGAGGAGAGAAGAAGAUAAGCAAGGCCAUAGGUGAGGG
This 309-nucleotide long non-coding RNA is filed under the name Lupinus angustifolius (narrow-leaved blue lupine). RNAcentral's name for it is "long non-coding RNA (LANG_LNC003320)". The record is from RNAcentral. Lineage: Eukaryota; Viridiplantae; Streptophyta; Magnoliopsida; Fabales; Fabaceae.